GGCCUACCAUGGUGGUAACGGGUAACGGGGUGUUAGGGCACGACACCGGAGAGGGAGCCUGAGAAACGGCUACCACAUCCAAGGAUGGCAGCAGGCGCGCAAAUUACCCAAUCCCGACACGGGGAGGUAGUGACAAUAAAUAACAAUACGGGGUUCUUUCGGAUCUCGUAAUUGGAAUGAGUACAAUUUAAAUCUCUUAACGAGGAACAAUUGGAGGGCAAGUCUGGUGCCAGCAGCCGCGGUAAUUCCAGCUCCAAUAGCGUAUAUUAAAGUUGUUGCAGUUAAAAAGCUCGUAGUUGAACUUCGGGAUCAAUGAGUUGGUCGUGCCCUUGGUAUGAACUGGCUUUAUUGGUUCUCACCUUCUAAUGAACCAUAAUGUCAUUCAUUUGAUGUUUUGGGGAAUUAGGACUGUUACCUUGAAAAAAUUAGAGUGUUUAAAGCAGGCUCACGCUUGAAUACAUUAGCAUGGAAUAAUGAAAUAGGACGUUCGAUCCUAUUUUGUUGGUUUCUAGGAUUGACGUAAUGAUUAAUAGGGAUAGUUGGGGGCAUUAGUAUUCAAUUGUCAGAGGUGAAAUUCUUGGAUUUAUUGAAGACUAACUACUGCGAAAGCAUUUGCCAAGGAUGUUUUCAUUAAUCAAGAACGAAAGUUAGGGGAUCGAAGACGAUCAGAUACCGUCGUAGUCUUAACCAUAAACUAUGCCGACUAGGGAUCGGAUGAUGUUAAUUUUUUAAUGACUCAUUCGGCGCCUUACG
This 753-nucleotide ribosomal RNA is filed under the name uncultured Glomeromycotina. Its description in RNAcentral is "SSU rRNA". It matches the Rfam family "Eukaryotic small subunit ribosomal RNA", at positions 338 to 1092 of the family's 1831-position model. Lineage: Eukaryota; Fungi; Glomeromycota. The record is from RNAcentral.